UACAGAGGUCCCGAGCGUUGUUCGGAUUCAUUGGGCGUAAAGGGUGCGUAGGCGGCGGGGCAAGUCUGAUGUGAAAUCUCGGAGCUUAACUCCGAAACUGCAUUCGAUACUGCCGUGCUUGAGGACUGGAGAGGAGACUGGAAUUUACGGUGUAGCGGUGAAAUGCGUAGAUAUCGUAAGGAAGACCAGUGGCGAAGGCGGGUCUCUGGACAGUUCCUGACGCUGAGGCACGAAGGUCAGGGGAGCAAACGGG
RNAcentral lists this ribosomal RNA (253 nucleotides) under uncultured bacterium. RNAcentral describes it as "partial 16S ribosomal RNA". It matches the Rfam family "Bacterial small subunit ribosomal RNA", at positions 524 to 776 of the family's 1533-position model. The record is from RNAcentral.